This 253-nucleotide ribosomal RNA is filed under the name uncultured bacterium. RNAcentral describes it as "partial 16S ribosomal RNA". It matches the Rfam family "Bacterial small subunit ribosomal RNA", at positions 524 to 776 of the family's 1533-position model. The record is from RNAcentral.
UACGUAGGGUGCGAGCGUUGUCCGGAAUUACUGGGCGUAAAGAGCUCGUAGGUGGUUUGUCGCGUUGUUCGUGAAAACUCACAGCUCAACUGUGGGCGUGCGGGCGAUACGGGCAGACUAGAGUACUGCAGGGGAGACUGGAAUUCCUGGUGUAGCGGUGGAAUGCGCAGAUAUCAGGAGGAACACCGGUGGCGAAGGCGGUUCUCUGGGCAUGUCCUGACGCUGAGGAGCGAAAGUGUGGGGAGCGAACAGG